GCAUAUCAAUAAGCGGAGGAAAAGAAACCAACAGGGAUUGCCCUAGUAACGGCGAGUGAAGCGGCAACAGCUCAAAUUUGAAAUCUGGCGUCUUUGGCGUCCGAGUUGUAAUUUGCAGAGGGCGCUUUGGCAUUGGCAGCGGUCCAAGUUCCUUGGAACAGGACGUCACAGAGGGUGAGAAUCCCGUACGUGGUCGCUAGCCUUUACCGUGUAAAGCCCCUUCGACGAGUCGAGUUGUUUGGGAAUGCAGCUCUAAAUGGGAGGUAAAUUUCUUCUAAAGCUAAAUACUGGCCAGAGACCGAUAGCGCACAAGUAGAGUGAUCGAAAGAUGAAAAGCACUUUGGAAAGAGAGUUAAAAAGCACGUGAAAUUGUUGAAAGGGAAGCGCUUGCAGCCAGACUUGCCUGUAGUUGCUCAUCCGGGUUUUUACCCGGUGCACUCUUCUGCGGGCAGGCCAGCAUCAGUUUGGGCGGUUGGAUAAAGGUCUCUGUCAUGUACCUCUCUUCGGGGAGAACUUAUAGGGGAGACGACAUGCAACCAGCCUGGACUGAGGUCCGCGCAUCUGCUAGGAUG
RNAcentral lists this ribosomal RNA (572 nucleotides) under Phoma sp. ICMP 13257. RNAcentral describes it as "eukaryotic LSU rRNA". It matches the Rfam family "Eukaryotic large subunit ribosomal RNA", at positions 38 to 625 of the family's 3401-position model. The record is from RNAcentral. Lineage: Eukaryota; Fungi; Ascomycota; Dothideomycetes; Pleosporales; Didymellaceae.